Molecule: ribosomal RNA, 468 nt
Filed under: uncultured bacterium
Lineage: Bacteria
Description: partial 16S ribosomal RNA
Rfam family: Bacterial small subunit ribosomal RNA
Source: RNAcentral
GACGAACGCUGGCGGCGUGCUUAACACAUGCAAGUCGAACGGAAAGGCCCUGCUUUUGUGGGGUGCUCGAGUGGCGAACGGGUGAGUAACACGUGAGUAACCUGCCCUUGACUUUGGGAUAACUUCAGGAGACUGGGGCUAAUACCGGAUAGGAGCUCCUGCUGCAUGGUGGGGGUUGGAAAGUUUCGGCGGUUGGGGAUGGACUCGCGGCUUAUCAGCUUGUUGGUGGGGUAGUGGCUUACCAAGGCUUUGACGGGUAGCCGGCCUGAGAGGGUGACCGGCCACAUUGGGACUGAGAUACGGCCCAGACUCAUACGGGAGGCAGCAGUGGGGAAUAUUGCACAAUGGGCGGAAGCCUGAUGCAGCAACGCCGCGUGCGGGAUGACGGCCUUCGGGUUGGAAACCGCUUUCGCCUGUGACGAAGCGUGAGUGACGGUAAUGGGUAAAGAAGCACCGGCUAACUACGUG